RNAcentral lists this ribosomal RNA (440 nucleotides) under uncultured bacterium. RNAcentral's name for it is "partial 16S ribosomal RNA". It matches the Rfam family "Bacterial small subunit ribosomal RNA", at positions 338 to 795 of the family's 1533-position model. The record is from RNAcentral.
CCUACGGGAGGCAGCAGUAGGGAAUAUUGCUCAAUGGGGGAAACCCUGAAGCAGCAACGCCGCGUGGAGGAUGAAGGUUUUAUGAUUGUAAACUCCUUUUGUUAGAGAAGAUUAUGACGGUAUCUAACGAAUACUCACCGGCUAACUCCGUGCCAGCAGCCGCGGUAAUACGGAGGGUGCAAGCGUUACUCGGAAUCACUGGGCGUAAAGCGUGCGUAGGCGGGGUAAUAAGUCAGAUGUGAAAUCCUGUAGCUUAACUACAGAACUGCAUUUGAAACUGUUACUCUGGAGUGUGGGAGAGGUAGGUGGAAUUCUUGGUGUAGGGGUAAAAUCCGUAGAGAUCAAGAAGAAUACUCAUUGCGAAGGCGACCUGCUGGAACAUUACUGACGCUGAUGCACGAAAGCGUGGGGAGCAAACAGGAUUAGAUACCCCUGUAGUC